RNAcentral lists this ribosomal RNA (273 nucleotides) under uncultured bacterium. Its description in RNAcentral is "partial 16S ribosomal RNA". It matches the Rfam family "Bacterial small subunit ribosomal RNA", at positions 32 to 290 of the family's 1533-position model. The record is from RNAcentral.
AAUCAACGCUGGCGGCGUGCCUAACACAUGCAAGUCGAACGCGAAAGCCCCGCAAGGGCGAAGUAGAGUGGCAAACGGGUAGAGUAACGCGUGGGUGACCUACCUUGGAGUGGGGAGUAACUUCCGAAGGACGCUAAUACCGCAUGACAUCCUGCCUUUGAACAGGCGGAGAUCAAAGCCUGGGACCGCAAGGCCAGGCGCUUGAAGAGGGGCCCGCGUCCGAUUAGCUAGNGGUCGAGGUAACGGCUCACCAAGGCGACGAUCGGUAGCCGG